RNAcentral lists this ribosomal RNA (264 nucleotides) under uncultured bacterium. RNAcentral's name for it is "partial 16S ribosomal RNA". It matches the Rfam family "Bacterial small subunit ribosomal RNA", at positions 98 to 354 of the family's 1533-position model. The record is from RNAcentral.
CGGCACGGGUGAGUAACGCGUAUGCGACCUGCCCGUUGCAGGGGGAUAAAUCGGGAGAAAUCCCGUCUAAUACCGCGUAACGCCGCGGGGCUGCAUGGCCCUGCGGCCAAAGGGAGCGAUUCCGGCAACCGGAUGGGGCAUGCGUGACAUUAGCUAGUUGGCGGGGGCAACGGCCCACCAAGGCGACGAUGUCUAGGGGUUCUGAGAGGAAGGUCCCCCACACUGGUACUGAGACACGGACCAGACUCCUACGGAAGGCAGCAG